RNAcentral lists this transfer RNA (76 nucleotides) under Omnitrophica WOR_2 bacterium RIFCSPHIGHO2_02_FULL_67_20. Its description in RNAcentral is "tRNA-Lys". It matches the Rfam family "tRNA". From Rfam's summary of the family: Transfer RNA (tRNA) molecules are approximately 80 nucleotides in length. Their secondary structure includes four short double-helical elements and three loops (D, anti-codon, and T loops). Lineage: Bacteria; Pseudomonadati; Candidatus Omnitrophota. The record is from RNAcentral.
GGGCCGCUAGCUCAACUGGUAGAGCAGGGGACUCUUAAUCCCAAGGUUGAUGGUUCAAGCCCAUCGCGGCCCACCA